UAGGGAAUAUUGCAAAAUGGGCGAAAGCCCGAUGCAGCAACGCCGCGUGGGCGAUGAAGGCCUUCGGGUCGUAAAGCCCUUUUUGAGGGGAUGAGGAAGGACAGUACCCUCAGAAUAAGCCUCGGCUAACUACGUGCCAGCAGCCGCGGUAAAACGUAGGAGGCGAGCGUUAUCCGGAUUUACUGGGCGUAAAGCGCGUGCAGGCGGAUUGGAGAGUUGGAUGUGAAAGCUCCCGGCUUAACUGGGAGAGGUCGUUCAAUACUUCCAGCCUUGAGUGCAGUAGAGGGAAGUGGAAUUCCGGGUGUAGUGGUGAAAUGCGUAGAUAUCCGGAGGAACACCAGUGGCGAAAGCGGCUUCCUGGACUGUAACUGACGCUCAGACGCGAAAGCUAGGGUAGCAAACG
Molecule: ribosomal RNA, 403 nt
Filed under: uncultured bacterium
Lineage: Bacteria
Description: bacterial SSU rRNA
Rfam family: Bacterial small subunit ribosomal RNA
Source: RNAcentral